Molecule: ribosomal RNA, 1664 nt
Filed under: Salmonella enterica subsp. enterica serovar Stanley
Lineage: Bacteria; Pseudomonadati; Pseudomonadota; Gammaproteobacteria; Enterobacterales; Enterobacteriaceae
Description: partial 23S ribosomal RNA
Rfam family: Bacterial large subunit ribosomal RNA
Source: RNAcentral
GAAAAAGAACCUGAAACCGUGUACGUACAAGCAGUGGGAGCACCCUUCGGGGUGUGACUGCGUACCUUUUGUAUAAUGGGUCAGCGACUUAUAUUCUGUAGCAAGGUUAACCGAAUAGGGGAGCCGGAGGGAAACCGAGUCUUAAUUGGGCGUUAAGUUGCAGGGUAUAGACCCGAAACCCGGUGAUCUAGCCAUGGGCAGGUUGAAGGUUGGGUAACACUAACUGGAGGACCGAACCGACUAAUGUUGAAAAAUUAGCGGAUGACCUGUGGCUGGGGGUGAAAGGCCAAUCAAACCGGGAGAUAGCUGGUUCUCCCCGAAAGCUAUUUAGGUAGCGCCUCGUGAAUUCAUCUCCGGGGGUAGAGCACUGUUUCGGCUAGGGGGCCAUCCCGGCUUACCAACCCGAUGCAAACUGCGAAUACCGGAGAAUGUUAUCACGGGAGACACACGGCGGGUGCUAACGUCCGUCGUGAAGAGGGAAACAACCCAGACCGCCAGCUAAGGUCCCAAAGUCAUGGUUAAGUGGGAAACGAUGUGGGAAGGCCCAGACAGCCAGGAUGUUGGCUUAGAAGCAGCCAUCAUUUAAAGAAAGCGUAAUAGCUCACUGGUCGAGUCGGCCUGCGCGGAAGAUGUAACGGGGCUAAACCAUGCACCGAAGCUGCGGCAGCGACACUGUGUGUUGUUGGGUAGGGGAGCGUUCUGUAAGCCUGUGAAGGUGUGUCGUGAGGCAUGCUGGAGGUAUCAGAAGUGCGAAUGCUGACAUAAGUAACGAUAAAGCGGGUGAAAAGCCCGCUCGCCGGAAGACCAAGGGUUCCUGUCCAACGUUAAUCGGGGCAGGGUGAGUCGACCCCUAAGGCGAGGCCGAAAGGCGUAGUCGAUGGGAAACGGGUUAAUAUUCCCGUACUUGGUGUUACUGCGAAGGGGGGACGGAGAAGGCUAUGUUGGCCGGGCGACGGUUGUCCCGGUUUAAGCGUGUAGGUGUGUGUUCCAGGUAAAUCCGGUUCACUUUAACACUGAGGCGUGACGACGAGGCACUACGGUGCUGAAGCAACAAAUGCCCUGCUUCCAGGAAAAGCCUCUAAGCAUCAGGUAACAUCAAAUCGUACCCCAAACCGACACAGGUGGUCAGGUAGAGAAUACCAAGGCGCUUGAGAGAACUCGGGUGAAGGAACUAGGCAAAAUGGUGCCGUAACUUCGGGAGAAGGCACGCUGACACGUAGGUGAAGUGAUUUACUCAUGGAGCUGAAGUCAGUCGAAGAUACCAGCUGGCUGCAACUGUUUAUUAAAAACACAGCACUGUGCAAACACGAAAGUGGACGUAUACGGUGUGACGCCUGCCCGGUGCCGGAAGGUUAAUUGAUGGGGUCAGCGCAAGCGAAGCUCCUGAUCGAAGCCCCGGUAAACGGCGGCCGUAACUAUAACGGUCCUAAGGUAGCGAAAUUCCUUGUCGGGUAAGUUCCGACCUGCACGAAUGGCGUAAUGAUGGCCAGGCUGUCUCCACCCGAGACUCAGUGAAAUUGAACUCGCUGUGAAGAUGCAGUGUACCCGCGGCAAGACGGAAAGACCCCGUGAACCUUUACUAUAGCUUGACACUGAACAUUGAGCCUUGAUGUGUAGGAUAGGUGGGAGGCUUUGAAGCGUGGACGCCAGUCUGCGUGGAGCCG